CACUGGCAAGGGCAGGGUGGCAAACAUCAUCCCAGACCAGCUCCACAUCAGGCUGCUGUGCUUGUGUCAGAUACGGCUGCAGUGCUAAAUACCAGGCAUUUUCCAGCCAGGAGCUGCGCUCCUGACUCCCGCCCACACGCCUGUUGGUGCGGGUGUUUGCAGCCUGAAGUUUGCUGUUUGUUUUCACUCAGGGAUGCCCCAUCCCUGGAAGUGUCCAAGGCCGGGUUAGACGGCGCUUGGAGCAACCUGGUUGGUGGAAGGUGUCCCUGCCCACGGCAGGGCGUGGAACGAGAUGAUCCCUUUAAGAUCCCUUCCAAACUGAACGAUCCCGGCAUUCUGUGAUUGCCACCCCCAAGUGGCCUCGGCCCCUUCUCGGUUAGGAUUUAAAGGCCGUCCAAAGCAGCGGGGGACUGGCGGCUCCCGGCCCCCGUGUCCCCCGGCCGCGGUGACAGCGCUGUCCCCCCGCAGGUUCCCCGCGGCUCGCCCGUCCCCGCUGCUGUACGGGCUGCCGGCCGCGCUGGGCGGCGCCGCGCUGGGCGCGCUGUUGGCGGCGGCGCUGGGCUGCUGGCGGCGGCGGCGGAGGAAGGACGGACCUCUCUAUGAAGUUGCUUUCCGCAGAACUGCAGAUGUCGCCCUGCUGCACCCUGAGGUGGAAGUCCCUGUUAAGUGCCUACAGGAGGAAACAUGCUCUGGCACUGAAAAGACCACCAUGAAAGACAGGAAAAGCCCUGAGUAUGAGAACCUUGUGACUGCAAUGGAAUCUCAAUAUGAAACAGGAGGAAUUUUGUAAAGUACCAGCUUAUCCAUAUGAUCAGCCAUUCAGGGCUGCAGGUCCUGCCUGCAGGAGCAGAAACCCUCAGCCAACUCUACCCACUUCUAUAGAACAAAUUGUUUCUGAGCAACCUGAAGGACCCAGGGCAGGAAGAAAGGAUCUGAAGGAGCGAGAACAUGAAAUUCUUUAGCCUGUAAAUCCAGGAGUAGUUGAUGCCAUGCUGCCAGUCAGUAACACUAGCAAGGGAUACUCUCCAAUGUGUGUUCCUGUUAAGACAUCCCAGGCUGCAAGGAGCCAGGAUUGUGGUGGAAAUGGAUGUCCUCUGGAUUUUGCAGCUCAGCAAAUACUGGUUGUACAUCCUGCCUGUGCCUGAGUCUUUUUUUUUUUUUUUUUCUGUUGUUGUUGUUGUUGCAGCAUGUUAAAGGGACCUCAGAGGGGAGGUUGAUGUCCCAGGAAUGCCAUUUUUGCUAUCAGACUGGAGCUCAAUGCUCAGAGAGAGAGGGAAUGAGUCCCUGAACUAUCACCCACUAGUUUUCUCGUGAAAAACAAGAACAGAUGUUGAAGGAAAUGCUGGCAUAUAAUUUUUACAAUGUGGGGGUCAGAGGCAUGAUAAAAUAGAGGGUAAUUUUAGGCAUUUGGACAGUGAUUAAGGGACCUCUCUGAAUACAACAGGCUGACACCAAUUUACUCUGGGGGAUGCAAGUCAAUCUGUGUGAUUACUAAUGCUGACCUGUUGUGCAACAUGGACGCAAUUCCUGCCUUCAGCUGCAGUGCAUUCCCUACAGUACACUGUCACUCAGCAGCCUGAUUUGCC
Molecule: long non-coding RNA, 1586 nt
Filed under: Serinus canaria (Common canary)
Lineage: Eukaryota; Metazoa; Chordata; Aves; Passeriformes; Fringillidae
Description: lncRNA (ENSSCAG00000017378.1)
Source: RNAcentral